UACGUAGGGGGCAAGCGCUGUCCGGAAUCAUUGGGCGUAAAGCGCGUGUAGGCGGCUUGAUAAGUCCGGUGUGAAAUCUUGGGGCUCAACCCCAAGCCUGCGUCGGAUACUGUCUCGCUAGAGUUCGGGAGGGGAGAGCGGAAUUCCUAGUGUAGCGGUGAAAUGCGCAGAUAUUAGGAAGAACACCGGCGGCGAAGGCGGCUCUCUGGAACGAUACUGACGCUGAGACGCGAAAGCGUGGGGAGCGAACAGG
RNAcentral lists this ribosomal RNA (253 nucleotides) under uncultured bacterium. RNAcentral describes it as "partial 16S ribosomal RNA". It matches the Rfam family "Bacterial small subunit ribosomal RNA", at positions 524 to 776 of the family's 1533-position model. The record is from RNAcentral.